AUGGUGAAGGCUAGAGCGGGAGAGACGGAUCUGGUUUCAGAACUCUCUGCACGGAGGACUCCCAGCCAGGUGCUGGGCAGCCACGUCCCAGGAAGAAAUUUCUACCAGGAUUCACGGAGGAGGAGAGCAUUGUGUGAGCACACUGGCGAGAGAACCUGGCCUCUGCCUCACACACAGCCAGGCCCUGAGCUCAGCACCCGGGAGGACCCCGCUGCCGCCUCUUCCCGGGCGGCUGUCAGCUGCCAGGGUACAGCCCUGCGGGCACCUGGACGCCACCUGGCCAGGACACAUGGCAGGAGCUCCACUGCCUCCUCUCCUCUCCUCCACAGGGGAGGUGUGGGGAAAGCAGUCAAGCCCGCGGUGAUUGUGAGGGGCUCUGCUGGAAUUUGGCAGUGCGAAGCCUUGGAGCGCAGCCCCAUGCUGGCUCCUAUUCAGCGGCCGGUUCCCCUCCAGCUCUGGAAGUUUCACUCAGCCGUGCACUCAAUGGCUCCACAAAGCUGAUUACAAGCUUCAGCGCAUUCCUGAAGGAGCCAAAGCGACGCAGGUGCAAACGAGCCGAGGGAGCCCCUUAUCCCGGUGACAGAAUGGGACAAGCUGGGAAAGGCGCGGACCACACAAAUCCAGGCUCACCAGGCAGCAGAAAGCCUGCCUUGGGAACCGGGGUCUUCGUCGACCU
RNAcentral lists this long non-coding RNA (676 nucleotides) under Fukomys damarensis (Damara mole-rat). RNAcentral describes it as "lncRNA (ENSFDAG00000022011.1)". Lineage: Eukaryota; Metazoa; Chordata; Mammalia; Rodentia; Bathyergidae. The record is from RNAcentral.